GCGGACGUGGCGAAAUCGGUAGACGCAAGGGACUUAAAAUCCCUCGGGGUUAUCCCCAUGCGGGUUCGACCCCCGCCGUCCGCACCA
RNAcentral lists this transfer RNA (87 nucleotides) under Methylocystaceae bacterium. RNAcentral's name for it is "tRNA-Leu". It matches the Rfam family "tRNA". From Rfam's summary of the family: Transfer RNA (tRNA) molecules are approximately 80 nucleotides in length. Lineage: Bacteria; Pseudomonadati; Pseudomonadota; Alphaproteobacteria; Hyphomicrobiales; Methylocystaceae. The record is from RNAcentral.